AAUAGAUACCCGGGUAGUCCACGCCGUAAACGAUGAGUGCUAAGUGUUAGAGGGUUUCCGCCCUUUAGUGCUGCAGCUAACGCAUUAAGCACUCCGCCUGGGGAGUACGGUCGCAAGACUGAAACUCAAAGGAAUUGACGGGGGCCCGCACAAGCGGUGGAGCAUGUGGUUUAAUUCGAAGCAACACGAAGAACCUUACCAGGUCUUGACAUCCUCUGACAACUCUAGAGAUAGAGCGUUCCCCUUCGGGGGACAGAGUGACAGGUGGUGCAUGGUUGUCGUCAGCUCGUGUCGUGAGAUGUUGGGUUAAGUCCCGCAACGAGCGCAACCCUUGAUCUUAGUUGCCAGCAUUUAGUUGGGCACUCUAAGGUGACUGCCGGUGACAAACCGGAGGAAGGUGGGGAUGACGUCAAAUCAUCAUGCCCCUUAUGACCUGGGCUACACACGUGCUACAAUGGAUGGUACAAAGGGCUGCAAGACCGCGAGGUCAAGCCAAUCCCAUAAAACCAUUCUCAGUUCGGA
This 522-nucleotide ribosomal RNA is filed under the name uncultured bacterium. RNAcentral describes it as "bacterial SSU rRNA". It matches the Rfam family "Bacterial small subunit ribosomal RNA", at positions 777 to 1297 of the family's 1533-position model. The record is from RNAcentral.